This 145-nucleotide small nuclear RNA is filed under the name Haemaphysalis longicornis (longhorned tick). RNAcentral's name for it is "U1 spliceosomal RNA". It matches the Rfam family "U1 spliceosomal RNA". Rfam says of the family: U1 is a small nuclear RNA (snRNA) component of the spliceosome (involved in pre-mRNA splicing). Its 5' end forms complementary base pairs with the 5' splice junction, thus defining the 5' donor site of an intron. Lineage: Eukaryota; Metazoa; Arthropoda; Arachnida; Ixodida; Ixodidae. The record is from Rfam by way of RNAcentral.
AUACUUGCCUGGUGCCGGGGCAUCGUUGAUCACCGAGGUCGAGCCCCCGGGGCGAGACGCGGUCAUUGCACUACGCUCGCGUUGACCCCUGCCGGUACCCAAACUGGGCAGAUGGGGCAUGAAAAUUGCUGAAAUCCGAUUCAAC